AAUAGAAACCCUGACUAAGACACACCAGGACACCAUGGGGCUGGGAGCAGCUCUACUGGUUAAGAUGGCCUCCCAAGUCUAGAAUUACAGAUGUGACCCACCAAUCAAUCAAUCCAACUAGACGCUUCGAACAGAUAUAUCCUCUCUUUGAGACAGUUCCUUUCUGACUCAAGUGUGUGAGGCUCUGUCAAAGGCUGCAGUCACCGCCCACACCACUCUGGAUCUCUGCUGUCUGGUGAACAGUGAGGACAUCCCACCUUGUGGACCAGCCACCUAUUAUAGACUCUAGUUUCAGGGGAAUGAUAACUUGCAUCUGAAGAUGAAUUACUGGCUUCGUUAACCUGAUGAUGUGGCUCUUUCCCCUUCCGGGUGUCUUCUGGAAGAUGUAUAUGG
This 393-nucleotide long non-coding RNA is filed under the name Mus pahari (shrew mouse). Its description in RNAcentral is "lncRNA (MGP_PahariEiJ_G0002633.1)". Lineage: Eukaryota; Metazoa; Chordata; Mammalia; Rodentia; Muridae. The record is from RNAcentral.